RNAcentral lists this ribosomal RNA (600 nucleotides) under bacterium. RNAcentral describes it as "bacterial SSU rRNA". It matches the Rfam family "Bacterial small subunit ribosomal RNA", at positions 76 to 664 of the family's 1533-position model. The record is from RNAcentral.
ACCUUCGGGGAACGAUAACGGCGUCGAGCGGCGGACGGGUGAGUAAUGCCUAGGAAAUUGCCCUGAUGUGGGGGAUAACCAUUGGAAACGAUGGCUAAUACCGCAUGAUGCCUACGGGCCAAAGAGGGGGACCUUCGGGCCUCUCGCGUCAGGAUAUGCCUAGGUGGGAUUAGCUAGUUGGUGAGGUAAGGGCUCACCAAGGCGACGAUCCCUAGCUGGUCUGAGAGGAUGAUCAGCCACACUGGAACUGAGACACGGUCCAGACUCCUACGGGAGGCAGCAGUGGGGAAUAUUGCACAAUGGGCGCAAGCCUGAUGCAGCCAUGCCGCGUGUGUGAAGAAGGCCUUCGGGUUGUAAAGCACUUUCAGUCGUGAGGAAGGCGGCGUCGUUAAUAGCGGCGUUGUUUGACGUUAGCGACAGAAGAAGCACCGGCUAACUCCGUGCCAGCAGCCGCGGUAAUACGGAGGGUGCGAGCGUUAAUCGGAAUUACUGGGCGUAAAGCGCAUGCAGGUGGUUUGUUAAGUCAGAUGUGAAAGCCCGGGGCUCAACCUCGGAAUAGCAUUUGAAACUGGCAGACUAGAGUACUGUAGAGGGGGGGUA